RNAcentral lists this non-coding RNA (396 nucleotides) under Pongo abelii (Sumatran orangutan). Lineage: Eukaryota; Metazoa; Chordata; Mammalia; Primates; Hominidae. The record is from RNAcentral.
AGGAUUGGGGAGCACGUUUUGCGUCUUGCUGUGCGUGAGGAAGCUGGGCUCCAGCUCAAGGCUAUGGAAAGGCAGGACUUUGAAAUGACCCUGUCCUCAGCCUGGAGGAUACAGUAUUCUGAUUGCCUGGUGCUGUGUCAACUGGGCCUGCCUCUGGGAUAGUGUUGUGCCUGCCCCACGAGAACCCUAUAUGCCAAUUCCAGAAGCAAAAACAAAACAAAAAAAGUUCGGGUACAGCGGCUCACACCUGUAAUCCCAGCUCUUAGGGAGAUGGAGACUGGAGGAUCACUUGAGGCCAGGAGUUCAAGACCAGCCUGGGCAACAUAGCAAGACCCAGUCUCUUAAAAGAAAAUUAAAAAGAAAGAAUAAAUAAAGUUCCAGAAGCUUGCUCUCCUU